Molecule: ribosomal RNA, 239 nt
Filed under: uncultured bacterium
Lineage: Bacteria
Description: partial 16S ribosomal RNA
Rfam family: Bacterial small subunit ribosomal RNA
Source: RNAcentral
CGAGUGGCGGACGGGUGAGUAAUGUCUGGGAAACUGCCCGAUGGAGGGGGAUAACUACUGGAAACGGUAGCUAAUACCGCAUAACGUCGCAAGACCAAAGAGGGGGACCUUCGGGCCUCUUGCCAUCGGAUGUGCCCAGAUGGGAUUAGCUAGUAGGUGGGGUAAAGGCUCACCUAGGCGACGAUCCCUAGCUGGUCUGAGAGGACGACCAGCCACACUGGAACUGAGACACGGUCCAG